UGGUGGAGUGAUUUGUCUGGUUAAUUCCGUUAACGAACGAGACCUCGACCUAUUAAAUAGUUUGUAUAAAACUUCGUGUUUUGUAUCAGACUUCUUAAAGGAACUGCUGCCGUUCUAGGCAGAGGAAGUACGAGGCAAUAACA
Molecule: ribosomal RNA, 143 nt
Filed under: uncultured eukaryote
Lineage: Eukaryota
Description: partial 18S ribosomal RNA
Rfam family: Eukaryotic small subunit ribosomal RNA
Source: RNAcentral